AUCCAACAAGCAAGACUAAGAGCGAAGAUUUGAAUUGGAAAUCGAACUAUUUCACUGCAAAGAAAACCAUCGACGUCCAUAAAGAUUCAGACAGCCAGGCUCUCAAAGAUUGGUGGAUAUGACUUAAAGAGUUGUUUAAGCACCAUCAUGGACAGGCUCAUGACAAAUUAAUUAAUGUCCAAUCUGAACAUGAAGGGGAGAGGGGGAAAAAAUAGCUUUGCCGAGACGAAGCUGCUCGAUUUAGUCACAGCUAGUGUCUUGGAUACCCAGAAGGGGACCGAAACGAUGGUCCAUGAUGCCAUAAAAAAUAAACUGAAAUAUGCCCCUGGACGGAAGGGAGGAAUAAGAUGGGCAUCACAGGC
Molecule: long non-coding RNA, 362 nt
Organism: Nerophis ophidion (straightnose pipefish)
Lineage: Eukaryota; Metazoa; Chordata; Actinopteri; Syngnathiformes; Syngnathidae
Exons: 4
Source: RefSeq, a predicted model, not a curated record